GGGUGGGGGCCCUCGUCUUACCCAGCAGUGUUUGGGUGCGGUUGGGAGUCUCUAAUACUGCCGGGUAAUGAUGGAGGCCCC
This is a microRNA precursor of Macaca fascicularis (crab-eating macaque), 81 nucleotides long. The record is from Ensembl. Lineage: Eukaryota; Metazoa; Chordata; Mammalia; Primates; Cercopithecidae.